UUCACUCUCAAGACCAAGACAACGGUCUCUCUCUUCUAUAAAGCGAAGCAAAGCGCAUGGCGCUGAAGUGAAG
Molecule: transfer RNA, 73 nt
Filed under: Toona ciliata
Lineage: Eukaryota; Viridiplantae; Streptophyta; Magnoliopsida; Sapindales; Meliaceae
Also listed under: 3 other names
Description: tRNA-Ile
Source: RNAcentral